GGCGGGAUAGCGAAGCGGUCAAACGCACCGGACUGUAAAUUCGGCCUCUCAGAGUUCCCAGGUUCGAAUCCUGGUCCCGCCACCU
RNAcentral lists this transfer RNA (85 nucleotides) under Paraconexibacter algicola. Its description in RNAcentral is "Conexibacter sp. Seoho-28 tRNA-Tyr". It matches the Rfam family "tRNA". Rfam says of the family: Transfer RNA (tRNA) molecules are approximately 80 nucleotides in length. Their secondary structure includes four short double-helical elements and three loops (D, anti-codon, and T loops). Further hydrogen bonds mediate the characteristic L-shaped molecular structure. tRNAs have two regions of fundamental functional importance: the anti-codon, which is responsible for specific mRNA codon recognition, and the 3' end, to which the tRNAs corresponding amino acid is attached (by aminoacyl-tRNA synthetases). tRNAs cope with the degeneracy of the genetic code in two manners: having more than one tRNA (with a specific anti-codon) for a particular amino acid; and 'wobble' base-pairing, i.e. permitting non-standard base-pairing at the 3rd anti-codon position. Lineage: Bacteria; Bacillati; Actinomycetota; Thermoleophilia; Solirubrobacterales; Paraconexibacteraceae. The record is from RNAcentral.